RNAcentral lists this ribosomal RNA (418 nucleotides) under uncultured bacterium. RNAcentral's name for it is "partial 16S ribosomal RNA". It matches the Rfam family "Bacterial small subunit ribosomal RNA", at positions 338 to 795 of the family's 1533-position model. The record is from RNAcentral.
CCUACGGGUGGCAGCAGUGAGGAAUAUUGGUCAAUGGGCGCGAGCCUGAACCAGCCAAGUCGCGUGAGGGAAGACGGUCCUAUGGGUUGUAAACCUCUUUUGUCGGGGAGGAAGCUCCGGCUAACUACGUGCCAGCAGCCGCGGUAAUACGAAGGGAGCGAGCGUUGUCCGGAAUUACUGGGUGUAAAGGGAGCGUAGGCGGGGAUGAAAGUUGGGUGUAAAAACUUCCGGUUCAACUGGUAGUCGCACUCAAAACUGCAGCUCUUGAGUGAAGUAGAGGCAGGCGGAAUUCCUAGUGUAGCGGUGAAAUGCGUAGAUAUUAGGAGGAACACCAGUGGCGAAGGCGGCCUGCUGGGCUUUUACUGACGCUGAGGCUCGAAAGUGUGGGGAGCAAACAGGAUUAGAUACCCCAGUAGUC